Molecule: long non-coding RNA, 204 nt
Filed under: Elaeis guineensis (African oil palm)
Lineage: Eukaryota; Viridiplantae; Streptophyta; Magnoliopsida; Arecales; Arecaceae
Description: long non-coding RNA (EGUI_LNC023484)
Source: RNAcentral
CUGGCAUGGGUUAAACUAGAUUGCUAAGUAACCUAAUUCAAGACCCAAUCUUCCAAAUUGAUCAGGUAAGUGAAGAUCGUUGGAGGUUCCCUCGUUGCCUUCCUAAGACAUCAAUAAAUUGAUCAGAUCGGCUAACGAAAUUAAUUAAAUAAUCAUGUCUCAUUAACUUGUCUUAGACACUUAUAGGUCGAUUAAUCAGAAUUG